Molecule: transfer RNA, 71 nt
Filed under: Bos taurus (domestic cattle)
Lineage: Eukaryota; Metazoa; Chordata; Mammalia; Artiodactyla; Bovidae
Also listed under: 4 other names
Rfam family: tRNA
About the family: Transfer RNA (tRNA) molecules are approximately 80 nucleotides in length.
Source: Rfam by way of RNAcentral
UUCCUGGUGGCUUAUCAGUAAAGUGUCUGCCUGCAAUGCAGGAGACUCAGGUUCAAUCCAUGACUGGGGAA